This 255-nucleotide small RNA is filed under the name Pseudomonas psychrophila. RNAcentral's name for it is "Pseudomonas sRNA P24". It matches the Rfam family "Pseudomonas sRNA P24". From Rfam's summary of the family: P24 is conserved across several Pseudomonas species and in Azotobacter vinelandii. The record is from RNAcentral. Lineage: Bacteria; Pseudomonadati; Pseudomonadota; Gammaproteobacteria; Pseudomonadales; Pseudomonadaceae.
UUGCGCAAGUGCUAUUUUAUUCAGCAAUCUUCGCAAUCCUCUGCCGGCGCCCCAGGCCUAUUCUUAUUACCAGAAUCACUGCCCGGACAUAGAGUCCACUGCGGCCGCCGAAUCAGGCCUGCCGCGGCCGCCAACCCAACAGGGUUGCCCCGGCCCCCGGGCUACGCACUGUCCAGAAGACGGGGCGAGGUGAGCCAACAUCACAAGUGUUGAGCCAGGACGGAAAAAUUCAAAGGGCGACCGACGGGUCGCCCU